Molecule: ribosomal RNA, 590 nt
Filed under: Escherichia sp.
Lineage: Bacteria; Pseudomonadati; Pseudomonadota; Gammaproteobacteria; Enterobacterales; Enterobacteriaceae
Description: bacterial SSU rRNA
Rfam family: Bacterial small subunit ribosomal RNA
Source: RNAcentral
GCGGACGGGUGAGUAAUGUCUGGGAAACUGCCUGAUGGAGGGGGAUAACUACUGGAAACGGUAGCUAAUACCGCAUAACGUCGCAAGACCAAAGAGGGGGACCUUCGGGCCUCUUGCCAUCGGAUGUGCCCAGAUGGGAUUAGCUAGUAGGUGGGGUAACGGCUCACCUAGGCGACGAUCCCUAGCUGGUCUGAGAGCAUGACCAGCCACACUGGUACUGAGACACGGUCCAGACUCCUACGGGAGGCAGCAGUGGGGAAUAUUGCACAAUGGGCGCAAGCCUGAUGCAGCCAUGCCGCGUGUAUGAAGAAGGCCUUCGGGUUGUAAAGUACUUUCAGCGGGGAGGAAGGUGUUGUGGUUAAUAACCUUGUCGAUUGACGUUACCCGCAGAAGAAGCACCGGCUAACUCCGUGCCAGCAGCCGCGGUAAUACGGAGGGUGCAAGCGUUAAUCGGAAUUACUGGGCGUAAAGCGCACGCAGGCGGUCUGUCAAGUCGGAUGUGAAAUCCCCGGGCUCAACCUGGGAACUGCAUUCGAAACUGGCAGGCUAGAGUCUUGUAGAGGGGGGUAGAAUUCCAGGUGUAGCGGUGA